Molecule: long non-coding RNA, 854 nt
Organism: Onychomys torridus (southern grasshopper mouse)
Lineage: Eukaryota; Metazoa; Chordata; Mammalia; Rodentia; Cricetidae
Exons: 2
Source: RefSeq, a predicted model, not a curated record
CUGGAAGGGAGACCCGUAAGCACCCAGAGGGAAGCGCCUGGCUUAGAGGAGCUCCCGUCGGAGUGGCUCAGGGGACAAAGGAGUUGACACGCGCGCUCUACAGGUGGUCUGGAGUGGCCGUGGGACAGCCAGCCCGCCUUUGCACCUCGCACCAGCCUACCCGGGUGGCCAGACCCGAGGUGCUGGAGGGGUGGGAAGAGAGCCGCGGCCUCACCUGCGCUAGAUCCAGGACACCAACUCGAGACGCCCCUGAACCCCCCCACGGAACACGUGCUGGCCAACUUCACCGUGCUUGCCUGGCACGCCCGGGGUGGAUCCCCAACCAGGAGAAAUGUAUUUGAGCAGACUGCGCCGCCCCCCACGUUAAGGGGGCGGAGGAAGAAGGGACUUGGGAGGGGCAGGGGUCGUCUACGUCUUCUGCCACUCUGUACUGGUUUCUAAAAACGACUCGCGUCUCAGAGCAUUUCAGAGCCCAGCAAACAGCCCCAAAGAGUUGAGCCAGAAGUUUGAGGAAGUUCUCCGAGUCACUGCCCAAGUCUUUGAGCUGCUUCUGAGUAACAGGGACUUUUCUGCUCCAUAGCCCUGGAGAAAAAUUUCCCCAAAGCCGUCAGAAGUUACUGAGGUGGAACCAGAAAUCCAGAGAUCGGAGUAAGGCUGGAUCAGCGAGAUGGUUCACCUGGUUCUUGCUUCCGAGCCGAAGACCUGGAUUUCAUUCCUGAGCCCCACGUGGUGGAAGGAGAGAACCUCCUACCAGCUGUCCUCUGAGCUACACGCACAUACACAGAGUCAAUCAGUAAAUGUUCUUUAAUGAAAAGGGAAAAAUGAGGUUUUUCAAUAAACCUGACAGCCUUUCA